Molecule: non-coding RNA, 297 nt
Organism: Vicia faba (fava bean)
Lineage: Eukaryota; Viridiplantae; Streptophyta; Magnoliopsida; Fabales; Fabaceae
Source: the annotation of a GenBank genome assembly
AUGGUGAUAAGCAACAAUCAAUUGAAAAAAGACAAUAAAGACAAAAGGGUAUGUUACCUGGAUCCAACAUGGUGGAGUUUGGACGUUGUGUCGAUGGGCGAAGAUGUACGAGCACUGCUCCAAUGUCAUAUGGAGAGUUCGAUUCCGGAAGAACUGCGUCGAAGGGAAUGCUCUGAAAAUAUUUUCCGACGGAAGUGUUGUUGUGCAUCUGAAGCAGUGGCUUUUGUCGGUAUUGAAAUUUUUUUUUCCUUUUUCUUCUAUUUCUUUUUCCUGCCAAAGAAUUCAGAUCGGUUAUAA